AGCGUGCGCAGGCGGUUAUGUAAGACAGAUGUGAAAUACCCCGGGCCUCAACCUGGGAACUGCAUUUGUGACUGCAUGGCUAGAGUACGGUAGAGGGGGAUGGAAUUCCGCGUGUAGCAGUGAAAUGCGUAGAUAUGCGGAGGAACACCGAUGGCGAAGGCAAUCCCCUGGACCUGUACUGACGCUCAUGCACGAAAGCGUGGGGAGCAAACAGGAUUAGAUACCCUUGU
Molecule: ribosomal RNA, 230 nt
Filed under: uncultured bacterium
Lineage: Bacteria
Description: partial 16S ribosomal RNA
Rfam family: Bacterial small subunit ribosomal RNA
Source: RNAcentral